Molecule: non-coding RNA, 177 nt
Filed under: unclassified sequences
Description: malK-I RNA
Rfam family: malK-I RNA
Source: RNAcentral
UGAGUAUCUGCCGUCCCACUCCACUUCAUGGGCGGCGGACAAAAAGAAGGAGGAAGUGAAAUCCCCGGGCUCGGGGUGCGGCAGUGUGGAGACCUGUCGUAAAGCCUCGUCCGUGUCAACCGGAGAGGCGAGGGCAUCCCUGGCGGAGGCCGGAUGUCCGGAGCCUGAAUUAUGGCA